This 490-nucleotide ribosomal RNA is filed under the name uncultured bacterium. Its description in RNAcentral is "bacterial SSU rRNA". It matches the Rfam family "Bacterial small subunit ribosomal RNA", at positions 27 to 509 of the family's 1533-position model. The record is from RNAcentral.
GGAUGAACGCUAGCUACAGGCUUAACACAUGCAAGUCAGGGGCAGCAUGACUUAGCUUGCUAAGUUUGAUGGCGACCGGCGCACGGGUGAGUAACGCGUAUCCAACCUGCCCCGAGGUCAGGGGACAGCCCGGCGAAAGUCGGAUUAAUACCUGAUGGUCUCUUUUGAUGGCAUCUGAUGAGGAGUAAAGAUUCAUCGCCUUGGGAUGGGGAUGCGUAGGAUUAGGCAGCAGGCGGGUAACGGCCCACCUGGCCAUCGAUCCUUAGGGGUUCUGAGAGGAAGGUCCCCACACUGGUACUGAGACACGGACCAGACUCCUACGGGAGGCAGCAGUGAGGAAUAUUGGUCAAUGGGCGGAAGCCUGAACCAGCCAAGUAGCGUGCAGGAUGACUGCCCUAUGGGUUGUAAACUGCUUUUAUGCGGGGAUAAAGUGAGCCACGCGUGGCUUAUUGCAGGUACCGUAUGAAUAAGGACCGGCUAAUUCCGUGCC